Molecule: ribosomal RNA, 253 nt
Filed under: uncultured bacterium
Lineage: Bacteria
Description: partial 16S ribosomal RNA
Rfam family: Bacterial small subunit ribosomal RNA
Source: RNAcentral
UACGGAGGGGGCUAGCGUUGCUCGGAAUCACUGGGCGUAAAGGGUGCGUAGGCGGGUCUUUAAGUCAGGGGUGAAAUCCUGGAGCUCAACUCCAGAACUGCCUUUGAUACUGAAGAUCUUGAGUUCGGGAGAGGUGAGUGGAACUGCGAGUGUAGAGGUGAAAUUCGUAGAUAUUCGCAAGAACACCAGUGGCGAAGGCGGCUCACUGGCCCGAUACUGACGCUGAGGCACGAAAGCGUGGGGAGCGAUCCGG